GACGAACGCUGGCGGCGUGCUUAACACAUGCAAGUCGAACGGAAAGGCCCUGCUUUUGUGGGGUGCUCGAGUGGCGAACGGGUGAGUAACACGUGAGUAACCUGCCCUUGACUUUGGGAUAACUUCAGGAAACUGGGGCUAAUACCGGAUAGGAGCUCCUGCUGCAUGGUGGGGGUUGGAAAGUUUCGGCGGUUGGGGAUGGACUCGCGGCUUAUCAGCUUGUUGGUGGGGUAGUGGCUUACCAAGGCUUUGACGGGUAGCCGGCCUGAGAGGGUGACCGGCCACAUUGGGACUGAGAUACGGCCCAGACUCCUACGGGAGGCAACAGUGGGGAAUAUUGCACAAUGGGCGGAAGCCUGAUGCAGCAACGCCACGUGCGGGAUGACGGCCUUCGGGUUGUAAACCGCUUUCGCCUGUGACGAAGCGUGAGUGACGGUAAUGGGUAAAGAAGCACCGGCUAAAUACGUG
RNAcentral lists this ribosomal RNA (468 nucleotides) under uncultured bacterium. Its description in RNAcentral is "partial 16S ribosomal RNA". It matches the Rfam family "Bacterial small subunit ribosomal RNA", at positions 28 to 507 of the family's 1533-position model. The record is from RNAcentral.